RNAcentral lists this ribosomal RNA (372 nucleotides) under uncultured organism. RNAcentral's name for it is "bacterial SSU rRNA". It matches the Rfam family "Bacterial small subunit ribosomal RNA", at positions 526 to 896 of the family's 1533-position model. The record is from RNAcentral.
CGUAGGGCGCAAGCGUUGUCCGGAAUUAUUGGGCGUAAAGAGCUCGUAGGUGGUUUGUCGCGUCUGCCGUGAAACCCGAGGCUUAACCUCGUGGCUUGCGGUGGAUACGGGCAGACUAGAGGUAGGUAGGGGAGAAUGGAAUUCCCGGUGUAGCGGUGAAAUGCGCAGAUAUCGGGAGGAACACCGGUGGCGAAGGCGGUUCUCUGGGCCUUACCUGACGCUGAGGAGCGAAAGCGUGGGGAGCGAACAGGAUUAGAUACCCUGGUAGUCCACGCCGUAAACGUUGGGCGCUAGGUGUGGGGUCUUUCCACGGACUCCGUGCCGUAGCUAACGCAUUAAGCGCCCCGCCUGGGGAGUACGGCCGCAAGGCUA